Molecule: ribosomal RNA, 253 nt
Filed under: uncultured bacterium
Lineage: Bacteria
Description: partial 16S ribosomal RNA
Rfam family: Bacterial small subunit ribosomal RNA
Source: RNAcentral
GACGAACCGAGCGAACGUUGUUCGGAAUUACUGGGCGUAAAGGGCUCGUAGGUGGCCAACUAAGUCAGACGUGAAAUCCCUCGGCUUAACCGGGGAACUGCGUCUGAUACUGGAUGGCUUGAGUUCGGGAGAGGGAUGCGGAAUUCCAGGUGUAGCGGUGAAAUGCGUAGAUAUCUGGAGGAACACCGGUGGCGAAGGCAGGUCUCUGGGCCACUACUGACGCUGAGAAGCGAAAGCAUGGGGAGCGAACAGG